GGAGGCCGAGGAUUGAUUAUUUCCUUGUGAAAAAUAUGCUCAUUUUGUAUUGUGAGCUUCUAACUGACGUGAAAACAGUUUUAUAGGAUUGAAGUUAAGCACUGCAGAUUUUUGAGCUCAAUAUGUAUCGUACAGGAAAGGAAUACAUAAUAGAUGCAUGCAUGGGCCACAAUGCAAAAAGAUGAGCUCUUGUGCUUUCCCUAGGACAGAGUACAGUGCCUACCAAUUGUGAGCAUAUCAGUACGAGACCAAUCACA
This 257-nucleotide long non-coding RNA is filed under the name Setaria viridis. RNAcentral describes it as "long non-coding RNA (SVIR_LNC003817)". The record is from RNAcentral. Lineage: Eukaryota; Viridiplantae; Streptophyta; Magnoliopsida; Poales; Poaceae.